RNAcentral lists this non-coding RNA (188 nucleotides) under Maledivibacter halophilus. RNAcentral's name for it is "Clostridium halophilum Lysine sequence". It matches the Rfam family "Lysine riboswitch aptamer". Rfam says of the family: Riboswitches are metabolite binding domains within certain messenger RNAs that serve as precision sensors for their corresponding targets. Allosteric rearrangement of mRNA structure is mediated by ligand binding, and this results in modulation of gene expression. The record is from Rfam by way of RNAcentral. Lineage: Bacteria; Bacillati; Bacillota; Clostridia; Peptostreptococcales; Caminicellaceae.
GUGUAAAUUAGAGGAUGCAGUUAUAAUUAGUACUUUAACUUAAAGUAAGGGGACUAAAGGUUAUAAGGAAAGGUAUAACUGCCGAAAUGUAUUACUUCCCCUAAGUAAUACAUUGGGGCUAUGCUAAAUAAGCAUAGUACUGUCUACGGUUGAUUGCCCAAUCUUCCGAUGGAGGUGCUAAUUUAUAC